Molecule: long non-coding RNA, 1119 nt
Filed under: Mus musculus (house mouse)
Lineage: Eukaryota; Metazoa; Chordata; Mammalia; Rodentia; Muridae
Description: myeloid RNA regulator of BCL2L11 induced cell death
Source: RNAcentral
UUUUUUUCUUUUCUUGUCUUUUUUUUUUUUUUUCCUAAUCAUGUGGACAUCUCUGAGAAUGAGGGGACUGGGUGACUUUGCAGUGUCUGCUUUCUAAGUUUCAAAGUGACUUUCCAGGCAAGCUGCGCAUAUCUUGGGAUCUUCACAGCACAGUGGCUGGGAAGGCAGGCGGACCCGUCUAUCAGCUUCUCCCUGGUGGGAUUCUUGCGGGGGCAGGGAUCGAGUCAAACCUUGGAAAUGACGUCAUUCUGAACUCAUCUGCCUUUAUCCAGAAGACUACCAAAGCAAACCAGAGGACCAGAGAACAGCAGCUGCUCUGGACAAAGAGGGGAGGACACCCACACCCACAUACCAAGUUCUGGUUGACUUCUACAGCAGAAGAAGCAGGAGACACAAGAAGCUUCAGGCCCAAAGCAACAGGGCCCACCAGCCAUAGACAGAACUGUCUGAAGCUGUGAGCCCAAAGAAAUUCCUCCAUCUUGUUUUCCUGGGACUCUGUCACACUGAUGAAAAGUUCUAUGAUUCUAGGCUUUAGUAAGAAGGCCUUCGGAAUCUCCAAAGAAACCAAACGUGUACGUGGGAAGAAGUGUACUUGGUUCGUGUGAUUAUGGAGUCUGACAAGUUCAAAAUCUUCAGUGAGAGCUGUCUGGCUGUAUUCACGAAGAACCGAUGCCAUACUGUCUGGCUGGCAUUAGAGCCCUCUGAUGAGUGUGGACAACGGUGGGAACAGGAGGAAAACAAAGCCCAGAGACACCAGUGGGAGAGACCGUGUCAGGGAGAGCAAGGAUGCUGUGUGAGCUGCAUGUGAGUUUUGUGAGUUAUGAGUCACAGGUGGCUCCAACCCUGCUUUCUGUCCUUCAGUCUCCCAUUCAGCACCCAACAGAAGAUGCUAGGCACCACUCUGCAUCCUCAAGGGAUAUCGUAUGAAGCAAGAGGCAGGUUUUCUUGGGUCCACAGCAACAUCAAAAAAGAGCAAAACGGACAUGCAAAUAAAUCUAUUUUAGCAUUUGAGACAGACGUCCAACUGAGGAACAUGAUCAGAAGAUGCCAGCCAGUAUAAACAUAUUUUGAAAAUAUGUAUUUCAUUUCUUAUAUAUGUACAUUUGUUCUCGUCGAAAA